Molecule: ribosomal RNA, 23 nt
Filed under: Pythium insidiosum
Lineage: Eukaryota; Oomycota; Peronosporomycetes; Pythiales; Pythiaceae
Description: partial 28S ribosomal RNA
Source: RNAcentral
GACCUGAUAUCAGGCAAGACUAC